This 106-nucleotide transfer RNA is filed under the name Candidatus Bathyarchaeota archaeon. RNAcentral's name for it is "tRNA-Tyr". Lineage: Archaea; Thermoproteati; Candidatus Bathyarchaeota. The record is from RNAcentral.
CCCACCUUAGUUCAGACUGGCUAGAGCGCUCGGCUGUAGACCGAGAUGUCCCCGGUUCAAACCGCGGUUCGCAUUGCCGACCGGCGUGGAAUUCCGGGAGGUGGGA